GUGAUUAGUGUUUCAGGCAGUGUCAGCGAUUGAUGUGGUGGUUUUUGAAAGGUAGCGGUGUGGGCAUUGUUUAUGGAGGAAGUGGGUUUUCUGGUUUGGUGUUCUUAAGGUUGGUGGUGUUAUGGAUUUUGACGGACAGUAAUGGUGUUUUAGUGUUAGGUAAGUGCGAUCGUAUGCGGGGGUUGUUGUGUAUAAGGAAAGGUAUUUGAACGGUGGUCGACGGUGGAGGGAAGGAGAGGUGAAUGGUAGUAGAGAGAAAAGAAUGUGUGAUAGUGCUCACGAAUCAAUGUCAUUUAUUGUUAGCUUGGUGUUGGAAAGGAAGAAAGAAGACAAAUUGGCAACCGACCGGUGCGGCGGCAGUGUUUGGUUAUGAUGGCG
RNAcentral lists this long non-coding RNA (378 nucleotides) under Gossypium raimondii (Peruvian cotton). Its description in RNAcentral is "long non-coding RNA (GRAI_LNC003600)". The record is from RNAcentral. Lineage: Eukaryota; Viridiplantae; Streptophyta; Magnoliopsida; Malvales; Malvaceae.